Molecule: long non-coding RNA, 768 nt
Filed under: Olea europaea subsp. europaea
Lineage: Eukaryota; Viridiplantae; Streptophyta; Magnoliopsida; Lamiales; Oleaceae
Source: RNAcentral
UUUUUUCCACCUAGAGUAGGGAUAUCAUUGCAGAUCCAAAACAUGGGUGUCUAGAGUUUGGGGAGACCAAAAGAUGACAUCAAUAUGAAAAGAAAACAAAAUAGAGAAUAAGAGAGCAUGAAACAUCCUUUUUGUGGAUAUCUCGCUCCCUUAGGAACAAGAUUAACAUGUCCCUGCUUCCAUUUAAUUGGAUUUAUUGUUAGUUUAUAAGUUACUCUUGUCUCUUGUUGAUGAAUAACAUUAUUCCUAUGAACUCAUAAAACAAACUUUAUACUAAUCUAGCUAUUGAGCAUCAUCAAGCCAUGCAGCACAAGUGAAAAAGCCUUUAAUUAGAUACUGAAGUUUGUGCUUCAAGAGAGAACGAAACUGAGAGGCAAACUUAUUGGCAAGGCAAACCUUGCAGAUUUGGCAAAUGUAAUGCUGUAAACAGCGUGAGCAACCUGGGGAGAAAGAGUAGCAUUGGUCUAGCCGAAAAAUGAAUUGGUCCUUUUUGUGCCAAAGUAGAAAUGCUAGGUUAAUGACAGAGGUGGGAUUUCUUUGAUCAUCGGGGAGAAAUUGAGAUGGGCACAGUUCAGAUUUAUGAAACCAUUCAUGAAUCCCAUCAGGUCAUUACUUUUUCGGACAGGAACAAGUUGAGAUAACCAUACCAGAUAGUGGAAGCCAUCUAACUUAGCAGCAACCAGUUGGCUAAGAUUAGGAGCAACAAAAGAGAUACUUUGAGAAGCAGAGGAUGCGUCAGCCAUGGAAGGUAAUAGGAUUGGAUCAGAA